This 415-nucleotide ribosomal RNA is filed under the name Clostridioides difficile. Its description in RNAcentral is "bacterial LSU rRNA". It matches the Rfam family "Bacterial large subunit ribosomal RNA", at positions 1259 to 1672 of the family's 2925-position model. Lineage: Bacteria; Bacillati; Bacillota; Clostridia; Peptostreptococcales; Peptostreptococcaceae. The record is from RNAcentral.
GACCGUAAGGACAUGUGGACAGUAUGGGAGUGAGAAUGUUGGCAUGAGUAGCGAGAUGUGGGUGGGAAUCCCACAGGCCGUAAACCCAAGGUUUCCAGGGGAAGGUUCGUCCGCCCUGGGUUAGUCGGGACCUAAGCUGCGGCCGAAAGGCGUAGGUGAUGGACAACAGGUUGAUAUUCCUGUACUACCGAUAACCGUUUGAGAGAAGGGAUGACACAGUAGGAUAAGCUAAGCACACUGUUGGUUAUGUGUGCCCAAGCAUUGAGGCAGUCAAAGUAGGCAAAUCCGCUUUGAUAAUGCUGGGAUGUGAUGGGGAGCGAAAUUUAGUAGCGAAGUAGCUGAUUUCACACUGUCAAGAAAAGUCUCUAUCGAGGUUAAAGGUACCCGUACCGCAAACCGACACAGGUGGGUGAGG